CCCUCGAUAGCUCAGUCGGCAGAGCGGAGGACUGUAGAUGUUACAACGGUGAUCCUUAGGUCGCUGGUUCAAAUCCGGCUCGAGGGA
This 87-nucleotide transfer RNA is filed under the name Cordylochernes scorpioides. RNAcentral's name for it is "tRNA-Tyr". It matches the Rfam family "tRNA". From Rfam's summary of the family: Transfer RNA (tRNA) molecules are approximately 80 nucleotides in length. Their secondary structure includes four short double-helical elements and three loops (D, anti-codon, and T loops). Lineage: Eukaryota; Metazoa; Arthropoda; Arachnida; Pseudoscorpiones; Chernetidae. The record is from RNAcentral.